AGGGUGCAGGGCGGAUGCCUUGGCACUAGGAGCCGAUGAAGGACGUGAUAAGCUGCGAUAAGCUUCGGGGAGUUGCACGUAAACUUUGAUCCGAAGAUUUCCGAAUGAGGAAACUCACUUAGAGUAAUGUCUAAGUAUCAUUAAGUGAAUACAUAGCUUAAUGAGGGGAACUCAGGGAACUGAAACAUCUAAGUACCUGAAGGAAGAGAAAGAAAUUCGAUUCCGUAAGUAGCGGCGAGCGAACGCGGAUUAGCCCAAACCAAUAAAGUUUUCUUUAUUGGGGUUGCGGACAUAUCAUAACGAAGAGGUAUCGUAAUUGAAGAGGUUUGGAAAGACCCACCACAGAAGGUAAUAGUCCUGUAUGUUAAACGAGAAGACUUCAGAUAUGAUCCAGAGUACCACGGGACACGUGAAACCCUGUGGGAAGCAGGAGGGACCACCCUCCAAGGCUAAAUACUACCUAGUGACCGAUAGCGUAUAGUACCGUGAGGGAAAGGUGAAAAGAACCCCGGGAGGGGAGUGAAAUAGAACCUGAAACCCUGCACUUACAAGCUGUGGAAGCACAUUUCUUGUGUGACCGCGUACUUUUUGUAGAACGGGCCAACGAGUUACGUUAAGUAGCAAGGUUAAGCACUUAAGGUGCGGAGCCGUAGCGAAAGCGAGUUUUAACUGAGCGUUCAGUUACUUGACGUAGACCCGAAACCGGGCGACCUACCCAUGAGCAGGAUGAAGCGAAAGUAAAAUUUCGUGGAGGUCCGAACCCACGAGCGUUGAAAAGCUCGGGGAUGACUUGUGGGUAGCGGUGAAAUUCCAAUCGAGCCCGGAGAUAGCUGGUUCUCCCCGAAAUAGCUUUAGGGCUAGCCUCAAGGUGAGAGAUACGGAGGUAGAGCACUGAAUGUCCUAGGGGGUAUUGCACCUACCGAAGACUAUCAAACUCCGAAUGCCGUCAUCUUAUACUUGGGAGUCAGACUGUGGGUGAUAAGAUUCAUAGUCGAAAGGGCAACAGCCCAGAUCGUCAGCUAAGGUCCCUAAAUGUAAGUUAAGUGGUAAAGGAUGUGGGAUUGCACAGACAACCAGGAUGUUGGCUUAGAAGCAGCCACUCAUUCAAAGAGUGCGUAAUAGCUCACUGGUCGAGUGAUCCUGCGCCGAAGAUUUCCGGGGCUAAAACUUACUACCGAAGCUACGGCAUCAGUAAUGAUGGGUAGGGGAGCUUCCCAUACGGGUUGAAGCAUGACCGUAAGGACAUGUGGACAGUAUGGGAGUGAGAAUGUUGGCAUGAGUAGCGAGAUGUGGGUGAGAAUCCCACAGGCCGUAAACCCAAGGUUUCCAGGGGAAGGUUCGUCCGCCCUGGGUUAGUCGGGACCUAAGCUGAGGCCGAAAGGCGUAGGUGAUGGACAACAGGUUGAUAUUCCUGUACUACCGAUAACCGUUUGAGAGAAGGGAUGACACAGUAGGAUAAGCUAAGCACACUGUUGGUUAUGUGUGCCCAAGCAUUGAGGCAGUCAAAGUAGGCAAAUCCGCUUUGAUAAUGCUGGGAUGUGAUGGGGAGCGAAAUUUAGUAGCGAAGUAGCUGAUUUCACACUGUCAAGAAAAGUCUCUAUCGAGGUUAAAGGUACCCGUACCGCAAACCGACACAGGUGGGUGAGGAGAGUAUCCUAAGGCCAGCGAGAGAACUGUUGUUAAGGAACUCGGCAAAAUGACCCCGUAACUUAGGGAUAAGGGGUGCCACCAUCAGGUGGCCGCAGAGAAUAGGCCCAAGCGACUGUUUACCAAAAACAUAGGUUUCUGCUAAGUCGCAAGACGAUGUAUAGGAGCUGACGCCUGCCCGGUGCUGGAAGGUUAAGGGGAUCUGUUAGAGCAAUCGAAGCAGUGAACUUAAGCCCCAGUAAACGGCGGCCGUAACUAUAACGGUCCUAAGGUAGCGAAAUUCCUUGUCGGGUAAGUUCCGACCCGCACGAAAGGCGUAACGAUUUGGGCACUGUCUCAACAACAGACUCGGUGAAAUUGUAAUUCCGGUGAAGAUGCCGGAUACCUGCGACAGGACGGAAAGACCCCAUGGAGCUUUACUGUAGCUUGACAUUGGGUCUUGGUACUACAUGUACAGGAUAGGUGGGAGGCUUUGAAACCAGGACGCCAGUUUUGGCGGAGCCAUCCUUGGGAUACCACCCUUGUAGUACUGGGACUCUAACCAUAGGCCAUGAAUCUGGUCUUGGGACACUGUCAGGUGGGCAGUUUGACUGGGGCGGUCGCCUCCCAAAAGGUAACGGAGGCGCUCAAAGGUUCUCUCAGUACGGUCGGAAAUCGUACGUAGAGUGUAAAGGCAAAAGAGAGCUUGAUUGCAAGACAUACAGGUCGAGCAAGGAUGAAAAUCGGACUUAGUGAUCCGGUGGUUCUGCGUGGAAGGGCCAUCGCUCAACGGAUAAAAGCUACCCUGGGGAUAACAGGCUUAUCUCCCCCAAGAGUCCACAUCGACGGGGAGGUUUGGCACCUCGAUGUCGGCUCAUCACAUCCUGGGGCUGUAGUAGGUCCCAAGGGUUGGGCUGUUCGCCCAUUAAAGUGGUACGCGAGCUGGGUUCAGAACGUCGUGAGACAGUUCGGUCCCUAUCCGUCGCAGGCGUAGGAAAUUUGAGAAGACCUGUCCUUAGUACGAGAGGACCGGGAUGGACGUACCUCUGGUGUACCAGUUGUCCUGCCAAGGGCAUGGCUGGGUAGCUAUGUACGGAAUGGAUAAGCGCUGAAAGCAUCUAAGCGCGAAGCCAACUUCAAGAUAAGAUUUC
RNAcentral lists this ribosomal RNA (2777 nucleotides) under Clostridioides difficile. RNAcentral's name for it is "bacterial LSU rRNA". It matches the Rfam family "Bacterial large subunit ribosomal RNA". Lineage: Bacteria; Bacillati; Bacillota; Clostridia; Peptostreptococcales; Peptostreptococcaceae. The record is from RNAcentral.